This 253-nucleotide ribosomal RNA is filed under the name uncultured bacterium. Its description in RNAcentral is "partial 16S ribosomal RNA". It matches the Rfam family "Bacterial small subunit ribosomal RNA", at positions 524 to 776 of the family's 1533-position model. The record is from RNAcentral.
UACAGAGGGUGCAAGCGUUGUUCGGAAUUAUUGGGCGUAAAGAGCGUGUAGGCGGUUCGGUAGGUCCGUUGUGAAAACUCGAGGCUCAACCUCGAGACGCCGAUGGAAACCAUCGAACUAGAGUCCGGAAGAGGAGAGUGGAAUUCCUGGUGUAGCGGUGAAAUGCGCAGAUAUCAGGAAGAACACCCGUGGCUAAGGCGGCUCUCUAGUACGGUACUGACGCUGAGACGCGAAAGCGUGGGGAGCGAACAGG